AGAGAAAGACGACUUUUUUAAUUUGGCAUGUUCUCGGUAAAAGCUUUGCUUUCGCUGUCAUUUUUUAAUAAUAAAGCAAUUAUACAAGUAGAGUCUCGUAGCUCAGCUGGUUAGAGCGCUACACUGAUAAUGUAGAGGUCGGCAGUUCGAGUCUGCCCGAGACUACUAUUUAGAAAUUAUAAUUGCUCCCAAGAGAAUAUAGAGGUUGGGGAAUUAGCUCAGCUGGCUAGAGCACUUGAUUUGCAUUCAAGAGGUCAUCGGUUCGACUCCGAUAUUCUCCACAAUUGUGUUUUUUACACAUAAAGUUCAUUGACAUUUUGAAAAUAUAUAUAAAGUAACAAUCAUUUUUAUAAUUAUAAAUAUGGUUGUACGAGCAAUUAAGUAAUAACAAAUUUUAUACAAUUUAAUUGAGAAAGAGUUAAAGUUAC
This 428-nucleotide transfer RNA is filed under the name uncultured Flavobacteriaceae bacterium. Its description in RNAcentral is "16S-23S ribosomal RNA intergenic spacer". The stretch from base 92 to 165 matches the Rfam family "tRNA". The record is from RNAcentral. Lineage: Bacteria; Pseudomonadati; Bacteroidota; Flavobacteriia; Flavobacteriales; Flavobacteriaceae.